Non-coding RNA from Doryrhamphus excisus (bluestripe pipefish), 2989 nucleotides. The record is from RefSeq and is a predicted model, not a curated record. NCBI's taxonomy places the organism in Eukaryota, Metazoa, Chordata, Actinopteri, Syngnathiformes, Syngnathidae.
AGAACCGACUAACCGACUUGGCCACCAGAACUGCAGUAUGUAUGUAUGCACGUAUCCACACAGGUACCACAGUUGGCCUGUUGAACUGCAGUGUGGAUGCAACCAGAACCAGCUAACUAACUUGGCCUCUUGAAGUGCAGUAUUUUGUGGAUGCAACCAGAACCAGCUAACCGACUUGGCCAACAGAACUGCAGUAUGUACCUUUUAAAGACGCGCAAGGAUGGAUACCUUCAUGUGGAGUUGUUUUUAAUCAUCCAUAUUCAUUCAACCACUUAUUUGUUCUUAUCCUUAAGGUAAGAGGUAAGGUAAGGUAAGCCUUUUUACUGGGUAAAAGCACAGACUUUGAAAACUUGCCAUGGGGAUGAACGUUGUCACACAAGUUAACCACUGUAAAAAAACAAAAAAGGCAAACUAUUUAAACGUAAGGUCACACAAGUGUCAAAAGCAUUUAAACACACUCACUGCGCAGUUUGUGUAAAAGGGGAAAAAUUUCUUGUGUAUGGUGUUUUCAAAAAGCAAAACAGAAACUUGUCACAAAUGUAUGAAAUAACUUCUUAACAAGAGCUCUUGUGUGUGUCAAAAUGAAAACAAAAAUCAAAAUGUGCAAACUUCACAAAAGCAAAAGGUGCAAAACAUUGUUGGGACAAGUGUUAAAAGGUUGGUCACACAAGUUAACCACUGUAAAACUGGAACAAAAUGUGUAUACUGUGUCUGAAGGUUAAAAAAAAAAAAAAAAAGAGGUCUUGUGUGUGUGUGUGUGUCAUAAUCAAAGCACUUGUGUGACAAAUCUAAAAAUAACACUAACUCAAAGGUAUUUUUUCCAGGAAACACGGUAAAACAAAGGGUCACAAAAAACUGAAUAACGACAGCUCUUGUGUUUGCCAUGGUGUCAAAAACUGCAAACUUGGCAAAGAAAUGUGCAAAAUGUUGUGACAAGUGUGAUUGUUUUUUUUUGAAGGUUUAAAAAAAAAAAAACAAGAGGUCUUGUGUGUGUCAUAAUCAAAGCACUUGUGUGACAAAUCUAAAAAUAACACUAACUCAAAGGUUUUUUUUUUCCAGGAAACACGGUAAAACAAAGGGUCACAAAAAAUUGAAUAACGACAGCUCUUGUGUUUGCCAGGGUUUCAAAAACUGCAAACUUGACCAAAAAAAAAAGCAAAAAAUUUGCAAAAUGUUGUGACAAGUGUGAUUUUUUUUUUUGAAGGUUUAAAAAACAAAAAAAAAACAAGAGGUCUUGUGUGUGUCAUAAUCAAAGCACUUGUGUGACAAAUCUAAAAAUAACACUAACUCAAAGGUUUUUUUUUCCAGGAAACACGGUAAAACAAAGGGUCACAAAAAAUUGAAUAACGACAGCUCUUGUGUUUGCCAGGGUUUCAAAAACUGCAAACUUGACCAAAAAAAAAAGCAAAAAAUUUGCAAAAUGUUGUGACAAGUGUGAUUUUUUUUUUUGAAGGUUUAAAAAACAAAAAAAAAACAAGAGGUCUUGUGUGUGUCAUAAUCAAAGCACUUGUGUGACAAAUCUAAAAAUAACACUAACUCAAAGGUUUUUUUUUCCAGGAAACACGGUAAAACAAAGGGUCACAAAAAAUUGAAUAACGACAGCUCUUGUGUUUGCCAGGGUUUCAAAAACUGCAAACUUGACCAAAAAAAAAAGCAAAAAAUUUGCAAAAUGUUGUGACAAGUGUGAUUUUUUUUUUUGAAGGUUUAAAAAACAAAAACAAGAGGUCUUGUGUGUGUCAUAAUCAAAGCACUUGUGUGACAAAUCUAAAAAUAACACUAACUCAAACGUUUUUUUUCCCAGGAAACACGGUAAAACAAAGGGUCACAAAAAACUGAAUAACGACAGCUCUUGUGUUUGCCAUGGUGUCAAAAACUGCAAACUUGGCAAAAAAAAUGUGCAAAAUGUUGUGACAAGUGUGAAUUUUUUUUGAAGGUUUAAAAAAAAAAACAAAAACAAGAGGUCUUGUGUGUGUCAUAAUCAAAGCACUUGUGUGACAAAUCUAAAAAUAACACUAACUCAAACGUUUUUUUUCCCAGGAAACACGGUAAAACAAAGGGUCACAAAAAACUGAAUAACGACAGCUCUUGUGUUUGCCAUGGUGUCAAAAACUGCAAACUUGGCAAAAAAAAUGUGCAAAAUGUUGUGACAAGUGUGAUUUUUUUUUGAAGGUUUAAAAAAAAAAAAACCAAGAGGUCUUGUGUGUGUCAUAAUCAAAGCACUUGUGUGACAAAUCUAAAAAUAACACUAACUCAAAGGUUUUUUUUCCAGGAAACACGGUAAAACAAAGGGUCACAAAAAACUGAAUAACGACAGCUCUUGUGUUUGCCAUGGUGUCAAAAACUGCAAACUUGACCAAAAAAAAAGCAAAAAAUUUGCAAAAUGUUGUGACAAGUGUGAUUUUUUUUUUGAAGGUUUAAAAAACAAAACAAAAACAAGAGGUCUUGUGUGUGUCAUAAUCAAAGCACUUGUGUGACAAAUCUAAAAAUAACACUAACUCAAACGUUUUUUUUCCCAGGAAACACGGUAAAACAAAGGGUCACAAAAAACUGAAUAACGACAGCUCUUGUGUUUGCCAUGGUGUCAAAAACUGCAAACUUGGCAAAAAAAAUGUGCAAAAUGUUGUGACAAGUGUGAAUUUUUUUUGAAGGUUUAAAAAAAAAAAAAAAAAACAAGAGGUCUUGUGUGUGUCAUAAUCAAAGCACUUGUGUGACAAAUCUAAAAAUAACACUAACUCAAACGUUUUUUUUCCCCAGGAAACACGGUAAAACAAAGGGUCACAAAAAACUGAAUAACGACAGCUCUUGUGUUUGCCAUGGUGUCAAAAACUGCAAACUUGGCAAAAAAAAUGUGCAAAAUGUUGUGACAAGUGUGAAUUUUUUUUGAAGGUUUAAAAAAAAAAAACCAAGAGGUCUUGUGUGUGUCAUAAUCAAAGCACUUGUGUGACAAAUCUAAAAAUAACACUAACUCAAAGGUUUUUUUUUCCAGGAA